Molecule: ribosomal RNA, 215 nt
Filed under: Glomeromycotina sp.
Lineage: Eukaryota; Fungi; Glomeromycota
Description: partial small subunit ribosomal RNA
Source: RNAcentral
GGGUCAGUAGGUUGGUCGUGCCACCGGUACGUACUGGUCUCACUGAUUCCUCCUUCCUGAAGAACCGUAAUGCCAUUAAUUUGGUGUUGCGGGGAAACAGGACUGUUACUUUGAAAAGUUAGAGUGUUUAAAGCAAGCUAACGCUUGAAUACAUUAGCAUGGAAUAAUGAAAUAGGACGAUCGAUCCUAUUUUGUUGGUUUCUAGGAUUGACGUA